CGCAAGCCUGACGGAGCAAGACCGCGUGGGGGAGGAAUGCCUUAGGGUCGUAAACCCCUUUUAUCUGGGAAGAACAAAAUGACGGUACCAGAUGAAUAAGCCUCGGCUAACUCCGUGCCAGCAGCCGCGGUAAUACGGAGGAGGCAAGCGUUAUCCGGAUUUAUUGGGCGUAAAGCGUCCGCAGGUGGCGAUGCAAGUCUGCUGUCAAAACCCAGGGCUCAACUCUGGUCAGGCAGUGGAAACUACAAAGCUAGAGUCUGGUAGGGGCAAAGGGAAUUCCCGGUGUAGCGGUGAAAUGCGUAGAGAUCGGGAAGAACAUCGGUGGCGAAAGCGCUUUGCUAGACCAGAACUGACACUCAGGGACGAAAGCUAGGGGAGCG
RNAcentral lists this ribosomal RNA (380 nucleotides) under uncultured cyanobacterium. RNAcentral describes it as "bacterial SSU rRNA". It matches the Rfam family "Bacterial small subunit ribosomal RNA", at positions 376 to 770 of the family's 1533-position model. The record is from RNAcentral. Lineage: Bacteria; Bacillati; Cyanobacteriota.